This 1021-nucleotide long non-coding RNA is filed under the name Chinchilla lanigera (long-tailed chinchilla). Its description in RNAcentral is "lncRNA (ENSCLAG00000022297.1)". The record is from RNAcentral. Lineage: Eukaryota; Metazoa; Chordata; Mammalia; Rodentia; Chinchillidae.
AUGGAAGGGGAAGCUGACAUGUAUUGCUUUUCCCAGAGCUGGGGACCGACAAAGACUUCCAGUAAUUCCACUGCCCAAACCCAGUUCUCAGGUGCAAACCCACCAUGGGACCUCAUCUCACACAAGCACAGCCAGCCCUCCACAGUAGUGAAGUCAACCUCCUGCAGAUCAAAAACGAAAGUACUGAGCUCUUUCAUCACGAUGACGGGAGGCAGCCAAAGCAGGAGGAAACCAGCAUGCCACUUCCCUCGCGGCUCAGGGUAGAGCAGAAAUCUCACUCAACACUGAGCAACGGGUCAUGUUUUUAGAAACACUCAAUUCACUUAGUGUCAGAAACAUCUAUAAAAAUGCAACUUCAACACAGUGGCUCACACUCAUAAUUCUAGCUGCUGGGAAGGCUAAGGCAGGAGGAUCACAACUUGAAGGCCAGCCUGGGUAACUUGGCAAGACCCUGUCUCAAAAUAUGAUAAAAAGGAAGGGCUGGGGAUAUAGCUCAGGGGUAGCAUGCACCAUCCAUGGUUUGAUCCCUGGUAGUGGGAAAGAAGAAAAAAAAGAAAAACGUGACUUUAGUCUAAUUCCCACAACUUAGUCUCUGGCAGGUCCCUCUCAAGAGGCAGCAAGCACGGGCUGCGCGAUGUCCUAGAAGCGGCUUAUGUCUCAGUGGGGGGCUGCCAGGGGAUCUGUGCUACUUGCAGAGCUGGGGCUUUCUGGGGGAGGGGGUAAUUUUUAUCUUGAAAUACUUUCAGUCUCAUAGAAAGUUGCACGAGUAGUACAGAGAACUCUCCAGUUCCCUUCACCAAGAUUCCCCAGCUGUUGGCACCUUAGCACAUUUAUCAGUUUCUCUCUUUCUAUACAAAAAUAUAAUUUUUUUCCUGAGCCAGGUGAGAACAAGCUGCAGACAUGAUGUCCCUUUGCUCCUAAAUACUUCAAUGUGUGUUCUCAGAGAGCAAGGACAUCCUUUAGAAAGCACAAUAACCACUAUAAAGAUCAGAACAUUAACACCAAUAAAACAGUUGACUCU